UGUCCGUGUUCUUGGAAGUCUUGGUUGCUCCUAUCAAUUGCUUGUCUCCCAGCUAGCCUGUGGACCAAAUAAAACUGUUGCUAACGGGAUAGAAGCUGUUUGGAUUCAAAUGCCAGUGCAGGAUAUGGCAACAGAAAUUAACAUCUCAUGUCUGCUGGGAUCAAAGUUACUCUGAGCUCUGAAGAUUGCAAAAUGAAAGUACUGGGUUCUGCAAAGCUCUUCUUCAGCCCAGGAUUGAACUCUCAAGAUACUCCUUUCAAUGAGUGAGAUGAGAAACAAUCCUGGAGUAUCAUAAUUUGAAAGGACAAGAGACAAAUACCUUGCUGUUUGUAUCACCUUUCUUGUCCCUAUAAAGUGACUGUUAUCAUCUGGAUGACAUUUUUUCCUGUCUACUUAUUAGACAGGUUCUGCAGAGGGGAGUGAUGCUGCAAUCAUAUUGACCUGGAAAAUUCUGCA
Nothoprocta perdicaria is the source of this 456-nucleotide long non-coding RNA. RefSeq lists it as uncharacterized. The transcript has 2 exons. NCBI's taxonomy places the organism in Eukaryota, Metazoa, Chordata, Aves, Tinamiformes, Tinamidae. The record is from RefSeq and is a predicted model, not a curated record.